UGGUCACGAAGAGGACAGACCUACUGGGUCAGCCCCAUGUCAGCCUGAUAUUGCUCCACUUCAUUUUGUGAGCCUUCAAAUCCCUUGUCUUCAGGCUUGUCACUUGAGACAGCAGGCUUGAUAAGGUACACUGAAGUCAGUGGAGUAAACCAAUUCAUAUCAACUAAUGAUGAGGCCUGCUGUUGUUCUGGGAUGAUAUGCACUGUGAUAAUUUCCAUCCAUUUGGAUGCAAUGUUUAAUUAAUUCUGCUUUACAGGCUCAUACCAAGGCCAGUUGAUC
This 279-nucleotide long non-coding RNA is filed under the name Phasianus colchicus (ring-necked pheasant). RNAcentral's name for it is "lncRNA (ENSPCLG00000001464.1)". Lineage: Eukaryota; Metazoa; Chordata; Aves; Galliformes; Phasianidae. The record is from RNAcentral.